CAAUAGCGUAUAUUUAAGUUGUUGCAGUUAAAAAGCUCGUAGUUGGAUUUUGGGUCGGGGGCACCGGUCCGCCGUUCCGGUGUGCACUGGUGGCCCCUUCCUUUCUGCCGGGGACGUGCGUCGCACUUAAUUGGGUGGCGUUCGGAGUCGGCGUUGUUACUUUGAAAAAAUUAGAGUGUUCAAAGCAAGCCAUCGCUCUGAAUACAUUAGCAUGGAAUAACAUGAUAGGACUCCGGUCUUAUUUUGUUGGUUUCCGAGACUGGAGUAAUGAUUAAGAGGGACAGUCGGGGGCAUCCGUAUUUCAUUGUCAGAGGUGAAAUUCUUGGAUUUAUGAAGGACGAACUUCUGCGAAAGCAUUUGCCAAGGAUGUUUUCAUUAA
RNAcentral lists this ribosomal RNA (379 nucleotides) under uncultured eukaryote. RNAcentral's name for it is "partial 18S ribosomal RNA". It matches the Rfam family "Eukaryotic small subunit ribosomal RNA", at positions 592 to 976 of the family's 1831-position model. The record is from RNAcentral.